Molecule: ribosomal RNA, 512 nt
Filed under: uncultured bacterium
Lineage: Bacteria
Description: bacterial SSU rRNA
Rfam family: Bacterial small subunit ribosomal RNA
Source: RNAcentral
GAUGAACGCUAGCGAUAGGCCUAACACAUGCAAGUCGAGGGGCAUCACAUGAAGUAGCAAUACGGAUGGUGGCGACCGGCGCACGGGUGAGUAACACGUAUGCAACCUGCCUUCAACAAGGGGAUAACCCGUUGAAAGACGGACUAAUACCCUAUAACACAGGGGUCCCGCAUGGGGAUAUUUGUUAAAGGACAACCGGUUGAAGAUGGGCAUGCGUUCCAUUAGCUAGUUGGCGGGUAAGGCCCACCAAGGCAACGAUGGAUAGGGGAACUGAGAGGUUUAUCCCCCACACUGGUACUGAGACACGGACCAGACUCCUACGGGAGGCAGCAGUGAGGAAUAUUGGUCAAUGGACGCAAGUCUGAACCAGCCACGUCGCGUGAAGGAAGACGGCCCUACGGGUGUAAACUUCUUUUGCAAGGGAAUAAAGUGGCCACGUGUGGCCUUUUGCAAGUACCUUGCGAAUAAGGAUCGGCUAACCCGUGCCAGCAGCCGCGGUAAGUACGCAGCGA